AAAUAACUCUCAUAUGGAGGGUUCAUAUCGCUUUGGUCAAAAUGGAACAAAUAAUGUGAAGGAUAUAAAGAGCAAUUUUAUAAAAUAAAUUGGUCGCUUUCUUUUACGGUUACGGAGGAGAUGUGGACACAAGGAAAACAGUGUUCGGGGGGGGGGAUAACUCCUACAAAGAAAAUUAUUUGGUUACGCAGGGUAAAUUUCAAAGGCGCAUAAACUGUUCGAUAUCAUAUACCAAAUAUCUAAGCGACAUAUUGCGAAACAAAUAUUUAUCGCAAGAACAAAAUUAGGCGGAAGAAAAAAAAAAUAAUCAGAAGAAAAACAAUAGGUCUUUCCACAGAAAAGUGGAAAGUG
RNAcentral lists this long non-coding RNA (351 nucleotides) under Mytilus galloprovincialis (Mediterranean mussel). Lineage: Eukaryota; Metazoa; Mollusca; Bivalvia; Mytilida; Mytilidae. The record is from RNAcentral.